CAAGAAGCGAAGGCUACUUCCAAACCCAUGUGAACUUAUCCAAUUGUUGCCUCGGCGGCGCAGGCUACCCUCACGGGGGACCGCAGCCCCGCCUCUCAGGCGGUAAGGGGCCCGCCGCGGACGAUACCGAAAACUCUUGUUAUCUUAGUUGAUUAUCUGAGUUCUUAAAUUAAUAAGUUCA
This 181-nucleotide unclassified non-coding RNA is filed under the name soil metagenome. RNAcentral describes it as "partial internal transcribed spacer 1". The record is from RNAcentral.